CUGCUGGUAAAAGGAAUGCACAGAAGAGAUCAAUUUAUUUUAGCUGCAUGCACAGCACCAGUAAGACUGCAGGGAGACCUGUGUGGCAAUGUGCUACUUGGGUGCUCAUGUCCCAGAGAAGAGGAGGAGGCCUUCAGUAUGGACUCCUAAACUUCUCUCCUCAUGUUAUACAGAACCUUCAAGGUACUUUCUUCAUCUGGAGAAACACAGGACAAGACAAACCACCAUUUACCAAGAGCCCAGUCCCCAGCUGAAUGCUCACUACUAAGUAUUUAGGCCUAAUUUCUAGAAUUUCUGAUUUCAUCUGGCAUCAUAUAAACUCACUUUCCUUGUUUUUGAAAGUACUUUGACUCCCCUCAACCUCAUCAUCUGCAUUUCACUAUUACUACAGCAUGGGGAAAUCAAGAUUAC
Molecule: long non-coding RNA, 411 nt
Organism: Gallus gallus (chicken)
Lineage: Eukaryota; Metazoa; Chordata; Aves; Galliformes; Phasianidae
Source: Ensembl